GAUGAAGAACGCAGCUAAAUGCGAUAAGUAAUGUGAAUUGCAGAAUUCAGUGAAUCAUCGAAUCUUUGAACGCACAUUGCGCCCGCCAGUAUUCUGGCGGGCAUGCCUGUUCGAGCGUCAUUACAACCCUCAGGCCCCCGGGCCUGGCGUUGGGGAUCGGCGGAAGCCCCCUGUGGGCACACGCCGUCCCUCAAAUACAGUGGCGGUCCCGCCGCAGCUUCCAUUGCGUAGUAGCUAACACCUCGCAACUGGAGAGCGGCGCGGCCAUGCCGUAAAACACCCAACUUCUGAAUGUUGACCUCGAAUCAGGUAGGAAUACCCGCUGAACUUAAGCAUAUCAAUAAGCGGAGGA
This 352-nucleotide unclassified non-coding RNA is filed under the name soil metagenome. RNAcentral's name for it is "partial contains 5.8S ribosomal RNA, internal transcribed spacer 2, and large subunit ribosomal RNA". The stretch from base 1 to 120 matches the Rfam family "5.8S ribosomal RNA", at positions 35 to 154 of the family's 154-position model. The record is from RNAcentral.